GACGAACGCUGGCGGCGUGCUUAACACAUGCAAGUCGAGCGGAGACAAUUGGCUUCGGCUGAUUGUUUUAGCGGCGGACGGGUGAGUAACGCGUGAGCAAUCUGUCCCAGACAGGGGGAUAACACUUGGAAACAGGUGCUAAUACCGCAUAAGACCACGAGAUCACAUGGUUUACGGGGUAAAAGGAGGAAUCCGGUUUGGGGUGAGCUCGCGUCCGAUUAGCUAGUUGGUGAGGUAACGGCCCACCAAGGCGACGAUCGGUAGCCGACCUGAGAGGGUGAUCGGCCACAUUGGGAACUGAGAAACGGUCCAAACUCCUACGGGAGCAGCAGGUGGGGAAUAGUUGGG
This 348-nucleotide ribosomal RNA is filed under the name uncultured bacterium. RNAcentral describes it as "bacterial SSU rRNA". It matches the Rfam family "Bacterial small subunit ribosomal RNA", at positions 28 to 369 of the family's 1533-position model. The record is from RNAcentral.